AAGCAGGGGAUCGUAAGACCUUGCGCUUUUGGAGCGGCCGAUGCCUGAUUAGCUAGUUGGUGGGGUAAAGGCCUACCAAGGCGACGAUCAGUAGUUGGUCUGAGAGGACGACCAGCCACACUGGGACUGAGACACGGCCCAGACUCCUACGGGAGGCAGCAGUGGGGAAUUUUGGACAAUGGGCGAAAGCCUGAUCCAGCAAUGCCGCGUGAGUGAAGAAGGCCUUCGGGUUGUAAAGCUCUUUCAGUCGAGAAGAAAAGAUUGUGAUGAAUAAUCACAAUUCAUGACGGUAUCGACAGAAGAAGCACCGGCUAACUACGUGCCAGCAGCCGCGGUAAUACGUAGGGUGCAAGCGUUAAUCGGAAUUACUGGGCGUAAAGGGUGCGCAGGCGGCUUUGUAAGUCAGAUGUGAAAUCCCCGGGCUUAACCUGGGAAUUGCGUUUGAAACUACAAGGCUAGAGU
This 462-nucleotide ribosomal RNA is filed under the name uncultured ammonia-oxidizing beta proteobacterium. Its description in RNAcentral is "bacterial SSU rRNA". It matches the Rfam family "Bacterial small subunit ribosomal RNA", at positions 202 to 647 of the family's 1533-position model. The record is from RNAcentral. Lineage: Bacteria; Pseudomonadati; Pseudomonadota; Betaproteobacteria.